RNAcentral lists this long non-coding RNA (1276 nucleotides) under Marmota monax (woodchuck). The record is from RNAcentral. Lineage: Eukaryota; Metazoa; Chordata; Mammalia; Rodentia; Sciuridae.
GUCCUCUAACCUUUACCCCUCCCCUGCUCUUCCUCCCCCCCCCCUUCCUCUCCCUCUUCCUCUCCCUCUCCUGCCAUGAGGUGAGCAGCUUUGCUCUGCCACCCACUUUCCAGGAUGUUCUACUUCAUCAAAGGCCCAAAGUGAUGGGGCAACAUGACCAUGGACUGAAACCUCUGAAACUGUAAGUUAAAAUAAAUCUUUUCUCAUUUAAGUUGUUUAUCUCAGGUAUUUUAUCACAGCAACAAAAGGCUGACCAACACAGAUAUGAAAAAAUAUAUAUGUGUGUGUGUGUGUGUGUGCGCGUGCGCGCUUGUAGUGUUGUGUGUCUAACAUGUAUAUUUCAAGUAUAUAUUUCAAAUAUUUCCUCUAUACCCUUAUACUGUCCUGUUUUGAAGCUAUAAGUAAAAAUUCAGGAUUUUGAUACGUUGAUGUUAAAAUUCAUUGAGAAAUGCAUAAAUAGCUACCAGAGUACAGAGUACAGACUGUUUUCUAUUUCUAUUUUAGUUUUUUCUUUCUUUCUUUCUUUUUUGUUUGGUUUGGUUUUGGCACUGGGGAUUGAACUCAAGGUCACUUUACCACUGAGCUACAUCCCCAGUCCUUUUUUAUUUUUGUUUUGAGUCAGGGUUUCCUUAAGUUGCCCAGGCUGGCCUCAAAUUUGCGAUCCUCCUGCCUCAAGCUCCAGAGCAGCUGGGAAGACAGGUGUGUGCCACCACACGUGCCCAGAGCUAAUGUAUUUUUACCUUCCUCUAUGUAAUUUCCCCCGACUUUCCUUGGAUAUUAUUCAUUUUUCUUUUUCCUAAUUUCUUUCCUCCUUUCUUUUUUUCUUUUUAAGGUCUGAAAUCUAAGUAAAAAUUGGCACGAUUCUGUGAAUGGGACCUUAUAUGGGCAAAGCCCUGCCGGACAAGGAAGUGAAGCCAUCCAGGGAUUCCCUGUUUGGCAGAAGGGCUGAGAGUAUAACUAAACAAACGAGGAGGUCUUUCAGGGACACUGGAACAGAUCUUCAAAGAAGAUUCCAUGGGUGAUUAAAAAUCUCUGGGUGGUAUUAGAGAGCUUACUGCAGAAAGUAUCAAAACCUUGGAAAGCUAAUAGUGGGGUCAUGAACUUUAUAAAGCAGAGUGAACCCCUGAGAGAACAAAACAGAACUCAAAAGAGUUCUCUAAACUACUACAUGGGGAAUACCAGCAAAACAAUAACACCUGGGCGAAAACUUUUAUGGGAGAGUCUUUCAACCCCCAAUCUCAGGCUCUCUGGCUGUUAAGUACCUUGUCAAGAAAUA